ACCCACACCUCUGGCCCCCGCCAUUUCCCCCCCCACCUCUGGCCCCCCCGCCAUUUCCCCCCCACACCUCUGGCCCCGUCAUUGCCCCGCCCACCUCUGGCCCCCGUCAUUUCCCUCCCACCUCUGGCCCCCGUCAUUGCCCCCCCCACCUCUGGCCCCCAUCUUCGGCCCUCCCACCUUGGGUCACCUGCCAUCGACCCUGAACUAAGGCUCUCUAUCUCUGGGCCCCUGGCUUUUCCAUCUCUAAUUGUGGGUGGCACUUAGUAUUGAGCUGGGGGCAGAGCUGACUGUGAUGUCAGGUGACUAACAGGGCGCAGGAUGAAACUUGUGGCGCGUGAUGAUUCCAUGGGAUGAAUUCAUCUCUACUGCUGAUGCCACAAGCUUUAAUGUCCCUGGCACCUCGAAGGCUCACCUUUCAGUUCACUUACUAUGGGCUAUCUGCAUUAUUUCUAUCAUACAUUCUUUCUUAUGCUUUUCAGCUGGUGUUUGAUCUUAGGAAAAUGUGGAGGUAAAUAUCUUCUUCAUAAACGUGGUGCAGCCUUUGUAUAGUUGCACAUAAAUAGUCACUGUGUUUUGUUACUUGUUUUUGAGAUUUUGCUAAGAAAUCUGUGAACCUAUUUCUUUCCUUCAACGCCCAACCACGGACUUCUUUGAGGAAUUGUGUCCAGAAUUCAGCAUAUGGUAAAGCAAAGACGGUGCCUCUACAUACCAAAAGACCUGGGUCUCAUGUUCCAGUUAGAAGAAGUAGGAAGCCAUCGAUCAAGACUAAGAAGCUGCUUGCACAGUGAAUCCCACGCAAAACCCGUAGAACUGACUCUCCUAAUACCACAGACAGAGAUGGAAAAUGGCUUCUCUGCUCUAUUUUGCUCUUCUUUUUUUGCUGUAAAAACUUUGAAAAAUGAAUAAAAAAGGAAUAUAUGAAAAAGUA
Long non-coding RNA from Xenopus laevis (African clawed frog), 928 nucleotides. RefSeq lists it as uncharacterized. The record is from RefSeq and is a predicted model, not a curated record. Lineage: Eukaryota; Metazoa; Chordata; Amphibia; Anura; Pipidae. The transcript has 2 exons.